Molecule: ribosomal RNA, 484 nt
Filed under: uncultured bacterium
Lineage: Bacteria
Description: partial 16S ribosomal RNA
Rfam family: Bacterial small subunit ribosomal RNA
Source: RNAcentral
AUUGAACGCUGGCGGCAGGCCUAACACAUGCAAGUCGAGCGGAUGAAGGGAGCUUGCUCCUGGAUUCAGCGGCGGACGGGUGAGUAAUGCCUAGGAAUCUGCCUGGUAGUGGGGGAUAACGUCCGGAAACGGGCGCUAAUACCGCAUACGUCCUGAGGGAGAAAGUGGGGGAUCUUCGGACCUCACGCUAUCAGAUGAGCCUAGGUCGGAUUAGCUAGUUGGUGGGGUAACGGCCUACCAAGGCGACGAUCCGUAACUGGUCUGAGAGGAGGAUCAGUCACACUGGAACUGAGACACGGUCCAGGCUCCUACGGGAGGCAGCAGUGGGGAAUAUUGGACAAUGGGCGAAAACCUGGUCCAGCCAUGCCGCGUGUGUGAAGAAGGUCUUCGGAUUGUAAAGCCCUUUAAGUUGGGGGGAAGGGCAGUAAGUUAAUACCUUGCUGUUUUGACGUUACCAACAGAAUAAGCACCGGCUAACUUCGUG